Molecule: ribosomal RNA, 1965 nt
Filed under: human gut metagenome
Description: bacterial LSU rRNA
Rfam family: Bacterial large subunit ribosomal RNA
Source: RNAcentral
GAGAUAGCUGGUUCUCCCCGAAAUAGCUUUAGGGCUAGCGUCGGAAAGAACCUUAGUGAAGGUAGAGCACUGAAUGUGUGAUGGCCCCAUCCCGGGGUACUGAAUACAAUCAAACUGCGAAUGUCAUUAAGGAUGUCCGGCAGUCAGACUGUGAGUGAUAAGGUCCAUGGUCAAGAGGGAAACAGCCCAGACCGCCAGUUAAGGUCCCAAAAUACAGGCUAAGUGGAAAAGGAUGUGGGGAUGCCCAGACAACUAGGAGGUUGGCUCAGAAGCAGCCAUCCUUUAAAGAGUGCGUAACAGCUCACUAGUCGAGUGACCCUGCGCCGAAAAUGUACCGGGGCUAAGCCUGAUACCGAAACUGCGGAUUGUAGGAAACUAUAGUGGUAGGGGAGCGUUGUAUACGAGCAGAAGCCGUACCGUGAGGAGCGGUGGAUUGUAUAGAAGUGAGAAUGCCGGUGUGAGUAGCGAGAUGUAGGUGAGAAUCCUACACACCGAAAGCCCAAGGAUUCCAGGGGAAGGUUCGUCCGCCCUGGGUAAGUCGGGACCUAACGCGAGGCCGAAAGGCGUAGUGGAUGGAAAGCAGGCGAAAGAUUCCUGCACCCGUAUAUGGAGCGAAGGAGUGACGGAGACGGAUAGUGUGACCCUCUUAAUGGAUUGAGGGCGAAGCGAAGCGGCUGGUUACCAGGCAAAUCCGGUAACCAAAAGGCUAGAGCGUGACAGGUAAGCGAAAUCCAAGGAAAGUAGCGAAGCACAUGAUGACGGCUUCCAGGAAAAGCUUCUGGCAAUGCAUAUGCGGCCCGUACCAAAACCGACACAGGUGGGCAGGGAGAGAAUCCCGAGGUGAGCGAGAGAACUGUUGCCAAGGAACUCGGCAAAAUGACUCCGUAAGUUAGCGAGAAGGAGUGCUUAAGCAAUUAAGCCGCAGUGAAGAGGCCCAAGCGACUGUUUAACUAAAACACAGCUCUCUGCGAAGUCGCAAGACGAAGUAUAGGGGGUGACACCUGCCCGGUGCUGGAAGGUUAAGAGGAUCUGUUAAGAGCGAUCUGAAGCAGUGAUCCGAAGCCCCAGUGAACGGCGGCCGUAACUAUAACGGUCCUAAGGUAGCGAAAUUCCUUGUCAGGUAAGUUCUGACCCGCACGAAAGGGGUAACGAUUUGGGCGCUGUCUCGGCAGCAGACUCGGUGAAAUCUUAGUACCUGUGAAAAUGCAGGUUACCCGCAACUAGACGGAAAGACCCCAUGGAGCUUUACUGCAGCCUGAUAUUGAAUUCUGGUCAUACAUGUACAGGAUAGGUGGGAGACAAAGAGACGUGCACGCCAGUGUACGAGGAGUCGACGUUGGGAUACCACUCUUGUGUGACCGGGGUUCUAACCUGGUAUCGAGAACAGGUACGGGGAGAGUGUCAGGUGGGCAGUUUGACUGGGGCGGUCGCCUCCCAAAGAGUAACGGAGGCGCCCAAAGGUACGCUCAGAUUGGAUGGAAACCAAUCGACGAGUGCAAUUGCAGAAGCGUGCUUGACUGUGAGACAGACAAGUCGAACAGGGACGAAAGUCGGGAAUAGUGAUCCGGCGGUGCCGAAUGGAAGGGCCGUCGCUCAACGGAUAAAAGCUACCCUGGGGAUAACAGGCUGAUCUCGCCCAAGAGUUCACAUCGACGGCGAGGUUUGGCACCUCGAUGUCGGCUCAUCGCAUCCUGGAGCUGGAUUCGGUUCCAAGGGUUGGGCUGUCCGCCCAUUAAAGCGGUACGCGAGCUGGGUUCAGAACGUCGUGAGACAGUUCGGUCCCUAUCUGUUGUGGGCGAAGGAGAUCUGCGGAGAGCUGUCCUCAGUACGAGAGGACCGGGAUGGACCUACCGCUGGUGCACCGGUUGUUCCGCCAGGGGCAUAGCCGGGUAGCUAAGUAGGGAAAGGAUAAGCGCUGAAAGCAUCUAAGCACGAAGCCUACUCCAAGAUGAGAUCUCCCAUUCG